This 72-nucleotide transfer RNA is filed under the name Salmo salar (Atlantic salmon). It matches the Rfam family "tRNA". From Rfam's summary of the family: Transfer RNA (tRNA) molecules are approximately 80 nucleotides in length. Their secondary structure includes four short double-helical elements and three loops (D, anti-codon, and T loops). Lineage: Eukaryota; Metazoa; Chordata; Actinopteri; Salmoniformes; Salmonidae. The record is from Rfam by way of RNAcentral.
UCCCGUGUGGCUCAGUUGGUAGAGCAUGCUGCUUGCAACACCAGGGUUGUGGGUUCCAUUCCCACGGGGGAU